RNAcentral lists this long non-coding RNA (610 nucleotides) under Lathyrus oleraceus (garden pea). RNAcentral describes it as "Pisum sativum (pea) long non-coding RNA (PSAT_LNC032200)". The record is from RNAcentral. Lineage: Eukaryota; Viridiplantae; Streptophyta; Magnoliopsida; Fabales; Fabaceae.
AAAACUUCAAAUUAAAUCUCCAAUUUAAACUCGGCAAAAUUAAGAUGAGCUAAAGCUCUCCAAGCCAAGACCAACAAUAAUAACAUCCAAAUUUGAUGAAGUACAACAUGAACAUAUCCAAAGAGUGGUCGAAGACACUCGAACCACUAUUAAUUUACGAGUAGAAUAGGAUUAUGAAAUCAAGCUGAAAAAGCAUAAGAAUUGUCCACAAACCUACAAAAAUAUCAUUUACAAACCAUGAGGAUGCUCAUAUCUUUCACGUCUUUCACUAUCAUCGAAGAACUAAAGAACACGAUAUCAUUCUGAUAUUUCUAAAUCAACCAAAUCACAUGGUGCCAAAUCAACAAAAAGCCCCCUAAUUCUAGACGAUCCAAUAAGCGAAAUAACUACUCUACGUAGAAGGAUGAACUACCUCCACAUAAGUGAUCUGACGGUCUGAGAAAACCUCACAAGUCGGAAGGCAAGAAUAUGCGAUUGUUAUAGAAUAAGACACGUUUUUAAAAUGACACCACCUGCAUCCAUCUCUUUCAGAAAGUAAAGUUUUUUAUCACCGACAAAAAACCACCAAUAAAAACUUGCUCGUAAUCGAAGAGAAACUCCCUCCUCCACU